RNAcentral lists this ribosomal RNA (467 nucleotides) under uncultured Halopelagius sp. RNAcentral describes it as "bacterial SSU rRNA". It matches the Rfam family "Archaeal small subunit ribosomal RNA", at positions 364 to 830 of the family's 1478-position model. Lineage: Archaea; Methanobacteriati; Methanobacteriota; Halobacteria; Halobacteriales; Haloferacaceae. The record is from RNAcentral.
AGUGCGAUAAGGGGACUCCGAGUGCGAGGGCAUAUAGUCCUCGCUUUUCUGUACCGUAGGAAGGUACAGGAAUAAGGGCUGGGCAAGACCGGUGCCAGCCGCCGCGGUAAUACCGGCAGCCCGAGUGAUGACCGAUUUUAUUGGGCCUAAAGCGUCCGUAGCUGGCCAAGCAAGUCUGUCGGGAAAUCCACUCGCUCAACGAGUGGGCGUCCGGCGGAAACUCCUUGGCUUGGGACCGGAAGGCUCGAGGGGUACGUCUGGGGUAGGAGUGAAAUCCUGUAAUCCUGGACGGACCACCGAUGGCGAAAGCACCUCGGGAGGACGGAUCCGACAGUGAGGGACGAAAGCUAGGGUCUCGAACCGGAUUAGAUACCCGGGUAGUCCUAGCCGUAAACGAUGUCUGUUAGGUGUGGCACAGGCUACGAGCCUGUGCUGUGCCGUAGGGAAGCCGAGAAGCGAACCGCCUG